RNAcentral lists this unclassified non-coding RNA (205 nucleotides) under Hevea brasiliensis (rubber tree). Lineage: Eukaryota; Viridiplantae; Streptophyta; Magnoliopsida; Malpighiales; Euphorbiaceae. The record is from RNAcentral.
CACUGGACGAGAUAAAAUAAUACACGCCAUGAGCAACAUACAAACCAAAACAUAUGAAUGGGAACUAUAUAUAAUUUUGAAUAAGCAAUGUAGGCACUAUGCUGAAUGAAAAGUCUGAAGUAAUUUUUAAGCAGUGCUGUUAAUGGUACUUGACAAACUUGGGCACCAACGACUCUAGGAGCCAAGGCAGAGUCAAUGAAUUAAA